ACUAUUUGGCCCGGUAAACAACUUGGCCCGGUAGAGAAAUAAUAAACCUGCAUUUUGUAAUUUGAUAAAUAAAUGAUUCAAAUAGGCCUAUUUAUUUUUAAAAACAGUUGAAAUUUGCACGCCGUGUACGCAGAGAGCGGGAGAUUAAAGAGGGAAACAAAGCAGUCAGUCCGUCUCAAAUGGUCAAAUCAUAGGUGGGUUCGCUGACAACAUCACGAAAACGAUGCGGACGCUUCAGUGGGGCAGAAAUCGCGGGCAGGGUCGGGACAUUCUGUCAGACCCCAGUAUGACUAGCUGUCGCCAUCCAAGAUGGCCCCAGGAAGACUAGCUGUGGCCAUCCAAGACGGCCCCAGGAAGACUAGCUGUGGCCAUCCAAGAUGGCCCCAGGAAGACAAGCUGUCACCAUCCAAGAUGGCCCCAGGAAGACAAGCUGUUGCCAUCGGCGUCGGCUAAUGAGGAUCCUAAUAAAUCAAAGCAAAUCUAACACACGACUGGGUCUCUAGGUCAAAAGCAAUUGUCAUUGUCGAUGGUGCUGAAACUGGUCAUCAAGGCAAGGUUCCACUAUCACGUCUUUUUUCAUUUGUUCCAUUGUAGGCUACCAGACAUACCAAAUUAAGAGCAGCACCUUUGAAGGAAUUUGACCCAGGUCGGCAUCACUAGGCCUACACUACAGUCAGAGAUGUAGUUCUGAAUGAGCUCACCUGGUGAUAGGAAUAUGCUUCGUGUCCACACUUCAUAGUCAUUCCCUUUGAUUGGUUUAACUGUUCGUUAUAAGUAAAUCUAAUACAUUACUUUGGUUUGAACUGGCUGAAUUUGUAAACAAGUGUCUAGCAAUAGAGGGUGCUAUAUGACAUCUACUUGUCAAACUGGAUUAGAAAAGACUUGAUUCCCACAAAACACGUAUUAUUUAAUUGGCAGAAGGAAGAACAUUUGUAUAGUUUUUUUUAUUGAUGAUUAAAUGAUUGAUUAAAAUGAAGUCACAUAUUGUAGAUAUCUUAAGGGCACAGACUGUAGACAUUCUCACACUAGUGUUAGCAUAUCCCCCAAACUCAGUCCUGGGGAACCCAAGGAGUGCACAUUUUGGCCCAGCACUACACAGCGGAUUCAAAUAGUCAAGGCUUGCUGUGAAGCUGAUUCAUUUGAUUAAGCUGUGUAGUGCCAGGACAAAACCCCAAAAUGUGCACACCUUGGGGUCCCCCAAGAUAGAGUUUGGGGAAACGCUGCACUACAUAGAACAGUGAAUUAUUAAAGCUAGUUACCAGAAGUGCUGCUUGACAAGUUCAGUUUCAGCCACUCAAACAUUCAGUAGGCUACAGGGCUGUGUUAAGUAGGGCAAAACGUAGCAAAACAUACAUUUUAAAAACGAAAACUAAACUUGGAAGUGUUUCUCUAGUAAGCUACCUCCUA
Long non-coding RNA from Oncorhynchus kisutch (coho salmon), 1407 nucleotides. RefSeq lists it as uncharacterized. The record is from RefSeq and is a predicted model, not a curated record. Lineage: Eukaryota; Metazoa; Chordata; Actinopteri; Salmoniformes; Salmonidae. The transcript is spliced from 2 exons.